ACUGGCUUUUAUUAGUGGCAGGUGGGCAUGGCUCCUGCUGCUUUUGUCUCCUCUUCCCUUGCUUUGUUGAAUGCAGUCUCAUUUCAGCUUCCUGGGAGUUCUCAGCUGGUGCUGAGCAGGAGAAAAGGUUCUCUCUGUUCUUCCAGAGAGUGGAACUGGAAUGCCAUCCCCUAUCCCUGUGGGAAGAGGGCAUGGUGGAGAUGUUGUCACUCAAGGAUAUGUCCUCCAGGCUGGCUGACAACAGCAGGAAGAGCUCCUGGGUAUUGCCUCUGACCAAAGGUUUGGUGCUUCGUCCAUCUGUUUCUUGCCUGCAAACACAAAGCAUAAGAGACAUAUGAAGAAUAGUUUGUCGAGUCCAGCAUUAUUUUUAUUUAAAAGAGACAAAUACCUACCAAGUUCCUCCACGCUGCAGGAAAAGGUACCCUGCCAGCAUUUAUGCUGCCUACAGUGACUUCCAAAAGAAGCUCUUAGCAUGCAGCACAGCAUGCCUAGAAGUGUCAGGCACAUAGAUCAGGUGUAUGUGGGACUGCCCAACCUCCAGGCUACCCAUUAAUUUUUAUGUGUGUUUUGCCUUGAAGUCCCCAUCCACAAAGGGAAGGAAAUAAGACAUGUCUGGGUUCUCGUGCACUAAACCUACAGAGACCUCCAGAGCAAACCUGCACUUGGUGCCCAUCCAGCUCAGGUACUGCUGCUGGCUCUAUCUGCAGUGUACAGCCCUGUCCACAGGCCUUGCAGACACCCACAGUGAUGUGCAAGUUAAUGUGGUUUCACACUGCUUCUGGGAGCAGUUGGUUUGGGAGCAGAAGAAUAUUUUAAUGACGGUCUACAAAUUGAAUUUUAAUUGUGAACAAAUGAUGAGCUUUGUCUCUGCAUCAGUAGUCUCACAAACAGGAUCCUGACCCUAUAAAUAAAUGCUAGUUGAACCUCGCAUUUUAAACCAGCUGAUCCCUAGAGAACAAUUCUGUCUUUCAUACUCCAUCCCCAUAAAUAUGCCAAAUUUGUCUCCAUUAUGCCAUGUCAAGCAGGGCCACCAACAGCACCUCACCAUAAAUAGGGCUUUUGUUCCCUUUUCUAUGUGGCACCAUGAACAUCCAGCACCUGUGCAAGUCCUCAAGAAAUCAUCCUGGGACAUGGGCAGGCUGAGAUGGGAAAUGGGAAGUGUAUCUCCCUGGUAUAUCUGGAUGGAUCUUGUACUUCUCAGAUGGACCAGCUGUCCUCACAUCAGAGCACGUACUGUUUAAGCUCUCAUCAAGUGACAGAAGCAAUAAGAGCAAUUAAACAAAGAGGACUAAUGGGAAUUUUAAUCUUCUCUCUGCUAAAUGAUGAUGGAUGUCAGCAAAGCAUACGUGGAAGAGAGUAUUUGAAUAAGCUCCCCCUGCUGUGCCUACUGUUACCAAUGUGCUUGCAGAAAGUUUCCCUGCUAUAAAUCAAGCACAGUAUUUUCGGGGCCCACCAAUGACACCAAACUUGUUUCCUGCUUUUUAGUAGUUGUAGUGAGAUGGUUUCAUCCUCUGAUCUGUUCACGUUGGACUGAUUUUCUUACCUUUACUAUCCAUCUCCAGUGUUUACAAAACUGGAAAAGCAGUGUUAGGAAGCAGGUUCUUUACCUGUGUGUAGAGCAAUAUUGAGAUGGGGGUUUCAGUACUACUUCUUGGCUCAGGUGGGCUCUUCAGGUGUAAAAUUUUAAAUUGGACAUUUGACUUCCUAUGUAAAAGUCAUUUACCUCCUCCUUGGCAAAGUCCAUUCUCUUUCCAUGAACUCAUUAGAGCUUACAAAACCUCUUUUCAUUUAGAACAAGCAGUUUGUAGCAUGCAAAGUGGUGUCGUCCACCUCUGGAUCAAAGGCUUGAAGAGAGAUUUUGGUGACAUCCCAGUUCCCGUCACCUCAUGCUGACCUUCUGAAAAACAAAUGCAAAACUGCCUAUUUCCUCUAAGAAAAAUCCCAGCUGGUGAUUUUCUGAUGUCUCCAGAACAACUUUGAAGAUAGUGUUGAGGCAGAAAGACUAAGCUAAGCAAGGCACUGGAAUAAAGCCAGUAUUCAGGUACAAAAUUGAUGGCAAAGCUGAAUUGUUACAGAGGAAAUCUAUAGAGGAGCUCACAAGCAAUUAAAAUAAAUUCAGAAUGUGAAAUGUAGAAAGCCCAUUUCCAAAUUGGCCUGAGAAUGUUUGCUUAAAAGUGAGUAAAAGCAACAAAGUCCCACAGCCAGAAAGAACAGCUUAAGUUCAUAGAAAAGAAAAAAAAAAAAAAGAAGAAGAAGAAAAA
Tympanuchus pallidicinctus (lesser prairie-chicken) is the source of this 2261-nucleotide long non-coding RNA. RefSeq lists it as uncharacterized. The record is from RefSeq and is a predicted model, not a curated record. The transcript is spliced from 2 exons. Lineage: Eukaryota; Metazoa; Chordata; Aves; Galliformes; Phasianidae.